GCCCAGAUGGCGUAGUGGUUACACGCCAGGUCAUGCUGAGGCCGUGGAAGACUUCUGGUUUGAUUCCGGAGCCGGGCA
RNAcentral lists this transfer RNA (78 nucleotides) under Eutypa lata UCREL1. RNAcentral's name for it is "tRNA-Leu (GAG) (tRNA-Leu-GAG-1-1)". The record is from RNAcentral. Lineage: Eukaryota; Fungi; Ascomycota; Sordariomycetes; Xylariales; Diatrypaceae.